Pelobates cultripes (western spadefoot toad) is the source of this 211-nucleotide non-coding RNA. The record is from the annotation of a GenBank genome assembly. Lineage: Eukaryota; Metazoa; Chordata; Amphibia; Anura; Pelobatidae.
CCUGUGUGUGUGGAUGGCCGCCUGCCUCUGUGUGUGUGUGUGUGUGUGGCUGUCUGCCUGCGUGUAUGCGUGUGGCUGUCUGCCUGCGUGUAUGCGUGGGUUUCUGCCUGUGUGUGUGUGUGUGGCUGUCUGCCUGUGUGUGUAUGUAUGUAGCUGCCUGUGUGUGUGUGGCUGUGUGUGUGUGUGUGGUGGUCUGCAUGUAAGUAUGUGU